Molecule: unclassified non-coding RNA, 9369 nt
Filed under: Lytechinus variegatus (green sea urchin)
Lineage: Eukaryota; Metazoa; Echinodermata; Echinoidea; Temnopleuroida; Toxopneustidae
Description: eIF-2-alpha kinase activator GCN1-like, transcript variant X1
Source: RNAcentral
UUGCAUCGCAAUAUUGCUGCAGGUUUUAUUUUGCGCACUGAACAACUAUGGCGUCGAACAGUGACGGGGUAGCUACCUUGCUAAAAAGGUUUGCGUCUCGGGUUCUGUGUACCAAGAGAGAAGAACGAUGUCAAAUUUUGUCGGAAGUUCGGGACGGAGUGUCUAUGGGAGCUGUGCCAGAAGGUGCUGUGAAGGGGAUAUGCCGCAUUCUGAUUCAGACAAUCCCAGUAUAUAAAGACCGGGCAUCACGAAAAGCGGUCCUUUCAGUUAUUGCUGCUUUGGGCGAGAAACACAGAGAUGCCAGCAUAAAGUCACUGACAGACAUCAUCAGCUCAUUUACAGUGGGACUAAAGAGUGUCUCAUGUGGGAGAGGAACAGGGGCUCAUCCUUAUGUGAUGCUAUGUUGGACAUGUACACUGUUCAGGCAAGCCUUCACAUCUAGCCAACAACGAUCUGGUAAUGAGUGGAAACAGUUGGUGGAUGCCCAAGGAAAUUUGGUGUCAGCUAUCCUAGCCUGUUCAAGGAAGUCUAUUCAUGCUUGUGGGUAUGCCAAGAUGAAGAGUACAUGGAAAGAAGUUGAAGGUCUAUGGGAGAGUUCAUUGGACACAGCAAUGCAGCUAGAAGGAUCAAGCCACGCCCUCUGUCUGAUUGGAUGGUUGCUAAGAUACGCUACAGAGACGAAGAACACAGAGGCCAUAGCCAAUAAGAAGAAAGCUCUCUUAGACUCUUACAUCAAGAAGAUCUUGGGUGGAAAGGCCAAACCGUCAGAACACAGCCUGGAUGUUAGUAAGUGGUUGCUACAGCACCUCACCCAUCCUGAGUUUGAAGGUCACAUCUUACCAGCCAUAAACAAAGGAAUGCUGAGAUGCCCAGAAAAUGUUGUUCAAGCUGUGAGCUACACCAUCGCUGGAGUGUCUUUGGACCUGAGUCAAUACGUCACAGAGUUGGGCAAAAACAUUGCAACUCAACUCCAUGCGAAAGAUGAAACUCUUCGCCAGGAAGCAGUAUCGGCAGCCGAGAAUCUUGCAUUGCAGUGUAGUGAUCCCACUGCCAUUGAAAGUCUUGCUAAACACUUCUUUACUGUAUUAGGAGGAUCCGAAGGCAAGCUGACGGUGGUAGCAGAGAGGAUUGGGGUUCUGUCAGCGAUAGGGGGUCUUAGUGUGAAUGGGGUCAGUGGAAUGAAUUCUGUUCAGGGCCUGGUCUCAUCCAUCCUGACACUCUUCAUACCUUACCUGCAACAAGAGGCCCAUGAAGGAGCGAUGGUUCAUGGUUUGGCCGUGCUAUCCAGAUGGUGCUCCAUGUCCUCUACAGAACUUCCUGCCAAGCUGAUCCAGUGGUUCCAGAAGGCCAUGACUCAGAAGCAGUCAACGGCCGCUACCAGGAAUGGAUGCAUCGGGGUGAUGCUGAAGUCCCUCAAGGGAGACACCUUGAUUCAUGGAUUGGAGAUCAUCCCUCAACUGAAAUCAUCAGUAGAGAAAGCUCAACAGCAGCCUAACCAAGUUGCUAUGGUAACAGAAGGUCUGUCAGCUGCAUGCCUACUGGUGAGGUUGUCUACAUCUGAUGUACAAGCAGAAAAUAAAGUGAGCUUUCUUUGGCCUGUUAUUCUUGAUGAGAAGAAACAGCUGUUUACAUCAGAGAAGUUCCUUUCAGUUGCAGGAGAAGACGCCCUCCUGACCCUAGUUGAGAUGACUGAAAGGCUGCUGACAGAUCAUGCGCAGUUGUUCAAGACAGGAGCAGAAAGGUUAUACCACAGAGCUCUAGUGACAUGUCUUAUCCAUUCCAAAUGGCGGGUGAGGAAAGCUGCCAAACAGACAAUCAGAAAACUUCUCUCCACUCCCUCAUUAGCCAUCAAACUUUCUCUCAAACUCCUUCAGGAAUUCAGACCUCUGCUUGCUGCACAGAAGCCAUUAGAAAGCUAUUCAGAGAGUGCUACAGCUGAUGACACAGGGAGGGUGAGACCAGAGGUGCUAGUCUCCUGUGUCCAGUCUCUUGUACCGGAUACCAAAGAGGAAGAUGAGAUUCCUUCAUCAGAGAUGAUAGAUCUAGCUGUCAACUCUCUUCUUAUUGACGCACAUCAUCCAAUCAUAGCUGCAGCUAAGCCUUCCCUAUGGGGUGAUCUCGUCUCUGGUCUCAUUCCUGAUCUAUCUUCAUUCAUAUCAGAAUGCCAAGGGGAUAUCUUGUCUCUUUUAAUGGAAAAGGAGAAAGCUUCUGAGGCCGCCCAGAAUGCCAUGAAGAGUUUAGCCUUCAUUGCUCCACAACACAUACUACCUCCUUUCAUCAAUCAAUUCGUCAGUUGUCUUGGCAACCCAGGAUUUGUGGGUAUCACGUUGGAGGAGUUUGCCAUUUAUCGGACACCAGAGGGUGUCCUCUACGAUCAGUCAGUGAUUGAAAAGAAUGCUGAGAAGCUUGACAAAGGUUCCAUGAAACGAGAGAACAAGGCAUACUCCUACAAGGAACAACUCAUGGAGAUUGAACUCAGAGAGGAGAUUGAGAGAGAGCGAGCCAAGAAGGGUAUCAAGACAGAAGUCAAACUGACCAAAAAGCAGGAAGAGGCCAAGAAACUACAGCUAGCCAAGGAGAGGGAUAUCAGGAAGAAACUACAGGAGCUGAAUGACGAGAUUGAGCCUGCAGCCAAGCUCCUAGUGGCUGCCAUCAAAGGCAACCCUUAUGGCCUGAGGAAACACAUUCCUACUCUCAUCAAUAACCUCUUCACGCUCUCAGAUUCACCCAUCGCUUCCCGGUACCUGGCUGAGGUCUACCUAGCCCUUGCUGAUUGUGCCUUUGAGGCUGACCAGAGAACUCUAGGUGACAUAGUCUCAUACUGCACUCUGCGCCUGAGCAAACCAGCUUGCUCCAUCCCUGACAAGUGGUGUCAGAUGAAGCUCUCAUCCAUGGUGACCGUCACCAUCCAAAAACUCCAUGGUGGGAGGGAUGACAUUGAGCAGGAUGGAGAUGAUGAUGAUGAUGACUACCUCCUGACAAGCUCUGCUACUGUGUUCCCGGCACCCUCGUUUGCAUAUUUCUUCCGCCUACUCCACCAGGUUCUGUAUGACGGUGGAACGGUCGUGAAGAAGGAUGAGAAGAUAGUAGAGAAGGCGCUGUCUAUUCUCUCAUCUCAUUGCAAUCUGAAGAGUGAUAUGGAUGAUGAAAGCGAUGAAAUUGAUGAGAGAGGACCAGAGCUUCUACCACGCCACAAGAUGCUAUCCCUCCUCUUCCGACUGAUCGGUAUCGGAGGGGUCCAACAGCAGAGGGUUGCUUCCGAUGCGGUGGUGGAGCUAUGCCGUAGUGCCAGUGGAGAUAUGGGAUGUGCCGUGGCGGAAACCGAUGAGAUUGAUGUCAUUCUCCAAGCCAUGACCAGCCCUGUGCUGGAAGUCAGGGUAGCUGCUCUCAAGGGCCUUCGAGAGCUGCUGCUGAUCCUCCCACCUCAGGAUUCGGAAGAACCUCAGGGGAUGAGAAUUGCUCAGAGGAUCUGGUGUGCUAGGAAAGAUUUUGAGAUCGAAGUGCGGACGUUAGCAGACGAAGUUUGGACAGAUGGUAACUUCACUGGUUCUCCGGAGCUGUGUACAAUGCUUCUUGAUGAUGUCAUCCACGAUGUAGCUGUCAUCAGACAGAGCAGUGCUGCUGCUCUCUCCGCCAUCUUGGCCGAGAAUCCUGAUGAAUUGGAUAAGGUCAUGGAUGUCCUUUUCAAGAAAUAUCAAGAAAAACUUGUGAUUCCUCCCCCAGUCUUGGACACCCUUGGCAGGGUUAUCGCUGAGUCUCCACCAGACCAGUACGAGGCACGCUGCGGCAUUGCCAUGGCCCUAUCGGAGAUUGCCCCUCACCUGCUGAUGCGUCAUGUUCCAGAGCUCUUCAGGUUUCUGGUGCCCAAAGGCCUAGGGGAUCGUAACGCCGAGGUCCAGAAAGAGAUGCUCAAUGCUGGCAUGGCGGCCAUCAUCCAACAAGGAAAGCCAAACGUUGGGACACUUCUUCCUGUCUUUGAGAAGUUCAUGGAUGAAGCACCAGACUCGUCAUCUUAUGACACUGUCCGACAGAGCGUCAUUAUUCUCAUGGGAUCUCUAGCCCGCCAUCUUGAGAAAGAUGACCCCAAAGUCAAACCCAUUGUCGGAAAACUGAUUGAAGCGCUAAGCACACCUUCACAGCCGGUCCAAGAAGCAGUAGCCAACUGUCUUCCACCCUUAGUCCCAGCCAUUAAGACCGAUGCACCAGGAAUUGUCCAAGAACUAUUGCGUCUACUGCUAGAAUCUGAGAACUACGGUGAGAGGAAGGGUGCAGCGUAUGGCCUGGCUGGCAUGGUGAAGGGACUAGGUAUCUUGUCUCUGAAGCAGCUUGAGAUCAUGUCAACGUUGCAGAGUGCCAUCCAGGAUAAGAAGAACUUCAGGAAGAGAGAAGGAGCCUUAUUUGCCUUUGAGAUGUUAUGUAGCAUGCUUGGUCGUCUCUUUGAACCUUAUGUUGUUCAUGUUAUCCCUCAUCUACUUCUCUGCUUUGGGGAUGGUAACGCGUAUGUCAGGGAAGCUACCGAUGAUACAUCCAGAGCUGUGAUGAGCAAACUGAGCGGGCAUGGUGUUAAACUAGUCCUACCAUCACUCCUUGCAGCAUUAGAAGAAGAUUCCUGGAGAACUAAAGCAGGAUCCGUUGAGCUCCUUGGUAACAUGGCAUACUGUGCUCCGAAGCAGCUCUCAUCGUGUCUACCAAGCAUUGUCCCCAAGCUUACUGAGGUCUUGACAGACUCACAUGCUAAGGUCCAGAAGACUGGAGCCCAGGCUCUCAAACAAAUCGGCAGCGUCAUUCGCAAUCCUGAGAUUCAGGCUAUUGUACCAAACCUUCUUGAGGCACUGUCUGACCCAUCCCGUCAAACGGCCAGCUGUCUCAAGACUCUCCUGGACACCAAGUUUGUCCACUUCAUCGAUGCACCAUCACUUGCUCUCAUCAUGCCAGUAGUUCAAAGGUCAUUCCAGGACAGGUCAACGGAGACCAAGAAGAUGGCAUGCCAGAUCAUUGGGAAUAUGUACUCCCUGACUGACCAAAAGGACCUUGCUCCGUACCUUCCCUCAGUGAUGCCCGGGCUGAAGUCUUCUCUGCUUGAUCCUGUACCUGAAGUGAGGAGGGUUUCGGCCAGAGCCCUGGGGGCCAUGGUCAAAGGGAUGGGUGAAAGUAGUUUUGAUGAUCUGCUGCCUUGGUUGAUGGAGAAGCUCACCUCGGAACAGAACUCUGUGGAUCGGUCAGGAGCAGCACAGGGUCUCAGUGAAGUAAUAGCAGGAAUGGGCCUCCAGAAACUAGAGAAGUUCAUGCCUGACCUUGUCAAGACUGCAGAAGCUCCUGACAUAGCAUCACACAUCAGGGAUGGUUACAUCAUGAUGUUCAUCUAUCUUCCUGGAACGUUUGGAGACAAGUUUGCUCCCUUCGUUGGACCCAUCAUCUCACCCCUUCUCAUGGCCUUGGCCGAUGAAAGCGAGUAUGUCCGAGAUACUGCCCUUCGUGCCGGUCAGCGCAUCAUCAACCUCUAUGCCGAGACGGCCGUCAACGUCUUCCUCCCGGAGCUGGAGAAAGGUUUGUUUGAUGAUAACUGGAGGAUAAGAUACAGUUCCGUUCAGCUUCUGGGUGAUCUGCUCUACCGAAUCUCUGGUGUCACUGGCAAGAUGACAACUGUUGGUGAUGAAGAUGAUAACUUUGGCACAGAACAUUCCACUAAGGCUAUCAUCAACAUCCUUGGAGCAGAGAGGAGGAACCGUGUCCUGGCUGGUCUCUACAUGGGACGAUCGGACACGGCCCUCAUGGUCCGCCAAGCAGCUCUUCACGUCUGGAAGGUGGUGGUCGUCAAUACCCCAAGAACUCUCAAAGACAUCCUUUCGACCCUCUUCACCCUUCUUCUAGGAUGUCUGGCCAGCACCAGCUAUGACAAGAGACAGGUUGCCGCACGGACGUUGGGUGAUCUAGUCCGCAAGCUAGGUGACCGUGUCUUGCCAGAGAUGAUCCCAGUCUUAGAGAAGGGUCUGGACUCGACGCAGAGUGACCAGAGACAAGGUGUCUGUAUUGGUUUGAGUGAAAUCAUCAGCUCUACAAGCAGAGAACAGGUUCUGACAUAUGUUGAGAGUCUGGUGACAACAGUGAAGAGAGCAUUGUGUGAUCCGUUGCUUGAAGUCAGAGAGGCUGCUGCAAGGACAUUUGACAGUCUUCAUAGUUCUAUUGGUCACAAGGCUCUUGAAGAGAUAUUACCGGAACUUCUCUCAAAGUUGACUGAUGAGGAGAAAGGGGAGUUUGCAUUGGAUGGGCUCAAACAGGUCAUGGCAGUCAAGAAUAGAGUUGUCCUACCAUUCCUUAUACCAAAAUUGAUCCAGCCUCCAGUAAACACCGGUGUCCUGGCCAUCCUAUCAGAGGUUGCUGGAGAUUCACUCACCAAACACCUAGCCAAGAUCCUCAAUGCUCUCAUGUCGGCUGUGGAGGAUUGCAUAGGAACAGACAGAGAACAAGAGGCUCUGAAGCACUGCCAGACUGUGGUCCUCUCAGUGCAGGACCAUCAAGGUCAACAGACCAUCAUAGAUGAACUCCUCCAGAAGCUCAAGGGAGACAAUGCAGGACUGCGGCUGGCUUCGUCCACCCUGCUUCAGGUCUACUGCAGCAAGACCAGCUGCAGCUACGCAGAUUAUGUACCUCAACUACAGAGGGCGCUCAUCCAGUCGUUCAACGAUCCUGAAACCAGGGUGUUGGAGAUGAGCUGGGAGGCCCUCAAUGCUGUGACAAAGAGCUUGAGUGCAGCAGAGCAGAUGGGUCAUAUUGGAUCUGUACGUCUUGCUGUGCGGUACGCUGCUGAGGAUUGCAAACAGGAUGAACUACCUGGCUUCUGCCUUCCAAAGAAGGGUAUCACCCCAGUCCUUCCAUACUUCCGUGAAGGCAUCCUCUCAGGGUCACCGGAGGUCAAGGAGCAAGCCGCCCUGGGGUUAGGUGAGGUCAUUCAACGGACCAGCAUCACAGCCCUCAAACCUCAGGUAGUAGCCAUCACUGGACCUCUGAUCCGUGUCCUGGGUGACCGCUUCGCUUGGAACGUCAAGGUGGCCAUCCUACAGACCUUAGGGCUGCUCAUCGCUAAAGUUGGUGUGCUACUGAAAGCUUUCCUGCCACAGCUUCAAACCACGUUCAUCCGAGGCUUGACCGAUGCUAACAGGGCGGUCAGGUUAGAAGCAGCAGCAGCCCUCGGGAAGCUGGUGGUCAUACAUGCCAAGGUGGAUCCUCUUUUCACAGAGCUUCAUAAUGGCAUCAAGAAUACUGACAAUGAUACAGGUGUUAGGGAGACAAUGCUACAAGCUUUAAGAGGGGCAAUUACGGGUGCUGGGACCAAGAUUGGUGAUACUAACAAGAAAGCUCUCCUGACAACUCUCAUCAGUAAUCUUUCAUCAUCAGAGAAUAAUAUUAGGAUAUCAUCAGCAGGGUGUUUAGGGGCAUUGUGUAAAUUCUUUAGUGAUGAAGAUCUUGAAGACAUCCUCAACAGUAGACUACUCGUAAAUGAACCGAAUCAGAACUGGAUGCUGCAUCAUAGUUGCGCCCUCGCUCUGUCAGUCAUGCUCAGAGACACACCAGAGAGAGUGACGGGUGAUGGUAGAUCGGCAAAGGUUCUUGAUGUCAUGAUCAAGAAUUCAUUGAAUGACAGGAUACCUGUUUGUGUAGCUGGUGUUCGAGGUAUGGGCUUCUAUCUAAAACACUGUGUUGCGACUGGUGUACAGGUCCCGCAGUCCCUCAUCUCUGCUAUGGUCAAGUGUUUCAACCACUCAUCCAAUGAUGUCAAAAUGGCCAUUGCUCAGAUGAUCUGCCAUGUUGCCAUGACAACAGAAUCACCUCUGGACAUGUCAAUCGUACGAGGGAUACUGGUAGUCUUGGUCAGCAAUACGAAAGACAAGAACACGGCCGUACAGGCUGACAGCGAAUGGGCGUUGGUUGCACUUCUUAGGCUAAAACAUGGAGAUGAAUUUUUACAGGAGGUGAUGAAAACCCUUGACUCAGUCCCAGCUUCCAACCUCAAUGAUUGCCUCAAGAGAUUACGGAAAGUUGCGGCACAGAACUUCCCAAAAAUAGAUAUCGAUGAAACUGUCUUGCGCUGAUAUUUUCCAAGAUGGUAGUCUUACAUUUUAUCAGGACGUUAUUUAGUUUCUUUUUUAAUUCUUCGUUUGGAAGGACUGAAUUGACAGUGGAGUACUGCUGUUCAUGGCCAAUAUCAGUAUGAUAUCCUUAGGAUAUUUUCAUGACUGGUGAACAUGUACUAGAUAGACUGUCUGUCCUAUACUUUCAUAUAAUUCUUGUCCUGCUGCUAUUCAUUUCUCACAUAUGGAAUAGACUUGAUGAGAAAUAUAGGACAGCAUAGCUUGUUAGGGGAUGAUAACAUGCCCACUUCGGAGCAUUCAGAUUGUUCCGAUGCUGUUCCAAAGUAAUGUUUGAAAGUUGUUUUUCAUCUGGACAUUGCCCACAAAGAGAAGGCUCGAUAGAGUUCCCCCAAUCAUUGUAAAAUUUGACUUUUGUGCUUUAAAAGGGAAAAUUACACCAAAAUUGUGUUCAGGGGCCUGUUGCAUAAAUCCUAGCAUGAUUGGUAACAAGAGCAUUUGCAGAUAAAAUGCAUUUGAAUUAGAAUUUGAAAACUACAGACUUGAAAUGAGUCACAUAACCGAUAUACAUCAUCAGCAUUUAAAGAUUGUGUAUUACAACAAAUCACAGGGUCUGAUUAUGGACAGCCAAGCUUCUGGAAAAUUGAUGAUAUUUUGACAAAGGUUUUCUUCUUCUCACCAUUUUUAAUCAAUUUAUCUUGUUAACCAGUUUUUGCCACAUAAAAAUAAAUCAAGAGUUGUAUGGUGCAAUUGUCAAUGAGAAUAUUUGUGAUAUAUUUUUAUGUGUUUCAAUUCAACCAGGAUCAAUCAUGGAUCGUCAUGUUUAGCUCAAUAUUUUGGGAAAUAUUCUUCAUUUUUGUGUACAAAUAUUACAAUUUUAUGGGAAAUGUUUCAAAAUAGAAUUGAAAUAUUUCAUAAGUUGGACGCAUCAGAAAGUAAUAGAUAAUGUGCUCGAAAUUAAUUUAGUCUUUUGUCUUUUAAUCAUGAUGUUUCUUAUUUUUGCCCCCAAAUCAUUAACAUUGUUGGUUAAUGACAAUAGUCUUAUUCUUCUUGCAUGUUAAUGGGAUCUAUUUGCAAAGUAUUUUAAGACACCAACAUUUGUGUAAAAGCAAAUGUGAUUUCAAACAUGUUCCACUGACUCUGUUUUGUUUCAAGUUGGCUAAAAUGUAAUGACAGAAAUCAAUAACAUACAUUUAGAUCUGUAUUUGAUUUGGGCUUGGAACACACACAAAAAUAUAGCCUUUUACAUAUUUGAUGUAAAUUUCCUUGGCUGAAAACAAGA